GACGAACGCUGGCGGCGUGCUUAACACAUGCAAGUCGAACGAAGUGGCGAACGGGUGAGUAACGCGUAAUCCACCUGCCCUUCAGAGGGGGACAACAGUUGGAAACGACUGCUAAUACCGCAUACUGAAGGAGGUGUUUGCGGCGGAUUAGCUACGUGGAGGGGUAACGGCCCACCAAGGCGAAGAUCAGUAGCCGGGCUGAGAGGAUGAACGGCCACAUUGGGACUGAGAAACGGCCCAGACUCCUACGGGAGGGAGCAGUGGGGAAACUUGCGCAAUGGACGAAAGUCUGACGGAGCAACGCCGCGUGAGAGAUGACGGCCUUCGGGUUGUAAAGCUCUGUUAAGCGGGACGCGGUACCGGAAUAGAAAGCCACGGCUAACUACGUGCCAGCAGCCGCGGUAAUAC
This 408-nucleotide ribosomal RNA is filed under the name uncultured bacterium. RNAcentral describes it as "partial 16S ribosomal RNA". It matches the Rfam family "Bacterial small subunit ribosomal RNA", at positions 28 to 526 of the family's 1533-position model. The record is from RNAcentral.